RNAcentral lists this ribosomal RNA (465 nucleotides) under uncultured Klebsiella sp. Its description in RNAcentral is "bacterial SSU rRNA". It matches the Rfam family "Bacterial small subunit ribosomal RNA", at positions 338 to 795 of the family's 1533-position model. The record is from RNAcentral. Lineage: Bacteria; Pseudomonadati; Pseudomonadota; Gammaproteobacteria; Enterobacterales; Enterobacteriaceae.
CCUACGGGUGGCUGCAGUGGGGAAUAUUGCACAAUGGGCGCAAGCCUGAUGCAGCCAUGCCGCGUGUGUGAAGAAGGCCUUCGGGUUGUAAAGCACUUUCAGCGGGGAGGAAGGCGUUAAGGUUAAUAACCUUGGCGAUUGACGUUACCCGUAGAAGAAACACCGGCUAACUCCGUGCCAGCAGCCGCGGUAAUACGGAGGGUGCAAGCGUUAAUCGGAAUUACUGGGCGUAAAGCGCACGCAGGCGGUCUGUCAAGUCGGAUGUGAAAUCCCCGGGCUCAACCUGGGAACCGCAUUCGAAACUGGCAGGCUAGAGUCUUGUAGAGGGGGGUAGAAUUCCAGGUGUAGCGGUGAAAUGCGUAGAGAUCUGGAGGAAUACCGGUGGCGAAGGCGGCCCCCUGGACAAAGACUGACGCUCAGGUGCGAAAGCGUGGGGAGCAAACAGGAUUAGAUACCCGGGUAGUC